This 253-nucleotide ribosomal RNA is filed under the name uncultured bacterium. Its description in RNAcentral is "partial 16S ribosomal RNA". It matches the Rfam family "Bacterial small subunit ribosomal RNA", at positions 524 to 776 of the family's 1533-position model. The record is from RNAcentral.
UACGGAGGGUGCGAGCGUUGUUCGGAAUCACUGGGCGUAAAGCGCGUGUAGGCGGCUAGGCAAGUCGGUUGUGAAAGCCCGGGGCCCAACCCCGGAACUGCAUCUGAAACUGCCUGGCUAGAGUCCCGGAGAGGAAGGCAGAAUUCCCGGUGUAGGGGUGAAAUCCGUAGAUAUCGGGAGGAAUACCAGCGGCGAAGGCGGCCUUCUGGACGGUGACUGACGCUGAGACGCGAAAGCGUGGGGAGCAAACAGG